Molecule: ribosomal RNA, 492 nt
Filed under: uncultured bacterium
Lineage: Bacteria
Description: partial 16S ribosomal RNA
Rfam family: Bacterial small subunit ribosomal RNA
Source: RNAcentral
AGUGAACGCUGGCGGUAGGCCUAACACAUGCAAGUCGAACGGCAGCACAGUAAGAGCUUGCUCUUCCGGGUGGCGAGUGGCGGACGGGUGAGGAAUACAUCGGAAUCUACUUUUUCGUGGGGGAUAACGUAGGGAAACUUACGCUAAUACCGCAUACGACCUACGGGUGAAAGCAGGGGAUCUUCGGACCUUGCGCGAUUGAAUGAGCCGAUGUCGGAUUAGCUAGUUGGCGGGGUAAAGGCCCACCAAGGCGACGAUCCGUAGCUGGUCUGAGAGGAUGAUCAGCCACACUGGAACUGAGACACGGUCCAGACUCCUACGGGAGGCAGCAGUGGGGAAUAUUGGACAAAGGGCGCAAGCCUGAUCCAGCCAUACCGCGUGGGUGAAGAAGGCCUUCGGGUUGUAAAGCCCUUUUGUUGGGAAAGAAAAGCAGCAGGUUAAUACCCCGCUGUUCUGACGGUACCCAAAGAAUAAGCACCGGCUAACUUCGUG